RNAcentral lists this unclassified non-coding RNA (253 nucleotides) under uncultured Planctomycetota bacterium. RNAcentral describes it as "uncultured planctomycete contains 16S-23S intergenic spacer region". It matches the Rfam family "Bacterial small subunit ribosomal RNA", at positions 524 to 776 of the family's 1533-position model. The record is from RNAcentral. Lineage: Bacteria; Pseudomonadati; Planctomycetota.
GACGAAGGUGGCAACCGUUGUUCGGAAUCACUGGGCAUAAAGAGCACGUAGGCGGCUAGGUAAGUCGGGUGUGAAAGCCCUCGGCCCAACCGAGGAAUUGCGCCGGAUACUGCUUAGCUUGAGGACAGGAGGGGGACGUGGAAUUCCUGGUGGAGCGGUGAAAUGCGUUGAUAUCAGGAGGAACACCGGCGGCGAAGGCGACGUCCUGGCCUGUUUCUGACGCUGAGGUGCGAAAGCCAGGGGAGCAGACGGG